This 606-nucleotide ribosomal RNA is filed under the name uncultured Actinomycetes bacterium. RNAcentral's name for it is "bacterial SSU rRNA". It matches the Rfam family "Bacterial small subunit ribosomal RNA", at positions 252 to 866 of the family's 1533-position model. The record is from RNAcentral. Lineage: Bacteria; Bacillati; Actinomycetota; Actinomycetes.
GUGAGGUAGUGGCUCACCAAGGCGACGACGGGUAGCUGGUCUGAGAGGACGAUCAGCCACACUGGGACUGAGACACGGCCCAGACUCCUACGGGAGGCAGCAGCAGGGAAUAUUGCACAAUGGGCGCAAGCCUGAUGCAGCGACGCCGCGUGAGGGAUGAAGGCCUUCGGGUUGUAAACCUCUUUCAGGAGGGACGAAGCGCAAGUGACGGUACCUCCAGAAGAAGCCCCGGCCAACUACGUGCCAGCAGCCGCGGUAAUACGUAGGGGGCGAGCGUUGUCCGGAUUCAUUGGGCGUAAAGAGCUCGUAGGCGGCUCAGUAAGUCGGCCGUGAAAGCCCAGGGCUCAACCCUGGGAGGCCGGUCGAUACUGCUGUGGCUAGGGUCCGGUAGAGGAGAGUGGAAUUCCCGGUGUAGCGGUGAAAUGCGCAGAUAUCGGGAGGAACACCAGUAGCGAAGGCGGCUCUCUGGGCCGGUACCGACGCUGAGGAGCGAAAGCUAGGGGAGCAAACAGGAUUAGAUACCCUGGUAGUCCUAGCCGUAAACGUUGGGCACUAGGUGUGGCGGAUUCAUUGACAUCUGCCAUGCCGUAGCUAACGCAUUAAGUG